UACGUAGGGGGCCAGCGUUGUCCGGAAUCAUUGGGCGUAAAGCGCGCGUAGGCGGUCAGGUAAGUCGGGUGUGAAAGCCCCGGGCUCAACCUGGGAAUUGCAUUCGAGACUGAAUAGCUAGGGUACGGUAGAGGGAAGUGGAAUUUCCGGUGUAGCGGUGAAAUGCGUAGAUAUCGGAAGGAACAUCAGUGGCGAAAGCGACUUCCUGGACCAGUACCGACGUUCAGGCACGAAAGCGUGGGGAGCAAACAGG
RNAcentral lists this ribosomal RNA (253 nucleotides) under uncultured bacterium. RNAcentral's name for it is "partial 16S ribosomal RNA". It matches the Rfam family "Bacterial small subunit ribosomal RNA", at positions 524 to 776 of the family's 1533-position model. The record is from RNAcentral.